GCCCUUGUAGUAUAAGCCAAUACACCGGUCUUGUAAGCCGGAACUGAAGUCUUUCUUCCAAGGACA
This 66-nucleotide transfer RNA is filed under the name Hylobates klossii (Kloss's gibbon). RNAcentral describes it as "tRNA-Thr". It matches the Rfam family "tRNA". From Rfam's summary of the family: Transfer RNA (tRNA) molecules are approximately 80 nucleotides in length. Their secondary structure includes four short double-helical elements and three loops (D, anti-codon, and T loops). Further hydrogen bonds mediate the characteristic L-shaped molecular structure. tRNAs have two regions of fundamental functional importance: the anti-codon, which is responsible for specific mRNA codon recognition, and the 3' end, to which the tRNAs corresponding amino acid is attached (by aminoacyl-tRNA synthetases). tRNAs cope with the degeneracy of the genetic code in two manners: having more than one tRNA (with a specific anti-codon) for a particular amino acid; and 'wobble' base-pairing, i.e. permitting non-standard base-pairing at the 3rd anti-codon position. The record is from RNAcentral. Lineage: Eukaryota; Metazoa; Chordata; Mammalia; Primates; Hylobatidae.